Molecule: ribosomal RNA, 884 nt
Filed under: Salmonella enterica subsp. enterica serovar Anatum
Lineage: Bacteria; Pseudomonadati; Pseudomonadota; Gammaproteobacteria; Enterobacterales; Enterobacteriaceae
Description: partial 23S ribosomal RNA
Rfam family: Bacterial large subunit ribosomal RNA
Source: RNAcentral
AAACCGGGAGAUAGCUGGUUCUCCCCGAAAGCUAUUUAGGUAGCGCCUCGUGAAUUCAUCUCCGGGGGUAGAGCACUGUUUCGGCUAGGGGGCCAUCCCGGCUUACCAACCCGAUGCAAACUGCGAAUACCGGAGAAUGUUAUCACGGGAGACACACGGCGGGUGCUAACGUCCGUCGUGAAGAGGGAAACAACCCAGACCGCCAGCUAAGGUCCCAAAGUCAUGGUUAAGUGGGAAACGAUGUGGGAAGGCCCAGACAGCCAGGAUGUUGGCUUAGAAGCAGCCAUCAUUUAAAGAAAGCGUAAUAGCUCACUGGUCGAGUCGGCCUGCGCGGAAGAUGUAACGGGGCUAAACCAUGCACCGAAGCUGCGGCAGCGAACGUAUCACUUAAAGCGAUUCAGCGGGUUACGAUUGACGGAGCGAAGCGACGUCAAAGCGUAUACAAAGUCGAGUCGGUUUAAGGAUACGUUCGUUGGGUAGGGGAGCGUUCUGUAAGCCUGUGAAGGUGGCCUGUGAGGGUUGCUGGAGGUAUCAGAAGUGCGAAUGCUGACAUAAGUAACGAUAAAGCGGGUGAAAAGCCCGCUCGCCGGAAGACCAAGGGUUCCUGUCCAACGUUAAUCGGGGCAGGGUGAGUCGACCCCUAAGGCGAGGCCGAAAGGCGUAGUCGAUGGGAAACAGGUUAAUAUUCCUGUACUUGGUGUUACUGCGAAGGGGGGACGGAGAAGGCUAUGUUGGCCGGGCGACGGUUGUCCCGGUUUAAGCGUGUAGGCUGGUUUUCCAGGCAAAUCCGGAAAAUCAAGGCUGAGGCGUGAUGACGAGGCACUACGGUGCUGAAGCAACAAAUGCCCUGCUUCCAGGAAAAGCCUCUAAGCAUCAGGUAACAU